GGGUUGUGAGGUUAAGCGACUAAGCGUACACGGUGGAUGCCCUGGCAGUCAGAGGCGAUGAAGGACGUGCUAAUCUGCGAUAAGCGUCGGUAAGGUGAUAUGAACCGUUAUAACCGGCGAUUUCCGAAUGGGGAAACCCAGUGUGUUUCGACACACUAUCAUUAACUGAAUCCAUAGGUUAAUGAGGCGAACCGGGGGAACUGAAACAUCUAAGUACCCCGAGGAAAAGAAAUCAACCGAGAUUCCCCCAGUAGCGGCGAGCGAACGGGGAGGAGCCCAGAGCCUGAAUCAGUGUGUGUGUUAGUGGAAGCGUCUGGAAAGGCGCGCGAUACAGGGUGACAGCCCCGUACACAAAAAUGCACAUGCUGUGAGCUCGAUGAGUAGGGCGGGACACGUGGUAUCCUGUCUGAAUAUGGGGGGACCAUCCUCCAAGGCUAAAUACUCCUGACUGACCGAUAGUGAACCAGUACCGUGAGGGAAAGGCGAAAAGAACCCCGGCGAGGGGAGUGAAAAAGAACCUGAAACCGUGUACGUACAAGCAGUGGGAGCACGCUUAGGCGUGUGACUGCGUACCUUUUGUAUAAUGGGUCAGCGACUUAUAUUCUGUAGCAAGGUUAACCGAAUAGGGGAGCCGAAGGGAAACCGAGUCUUAACUGGGCGUUAAGUUGCAGGGUAUAGACCCGAAACCCGGUGAUCUAGCCAUGGGCAGGUUGAAGGUUGGGUAACACUAACUGGAGGACCGAACCGACUAAUGUUGAAAAAUUAGCGGAUGACUUGUGGCUGGGGGUGAAAGGCCAAUCAAACCGGGAGAUAGCUGGUUCUCCCCGAAAGCUAUUUAGGUAGCGCCUCGUGAAUUCAUCUCCGGGGGUAGAGCACUGUUUCGGCAAGGGGGUCAUCCCGACUUACCAACCCGAUGCAAACUGCGAAUACCGGAGAAUGUUAUCACGGGAGACACACGGCGGGUGCUAACGUCCGUCGUGAAGAGGGAAACAACCCAGACCGCCAGCUAAGGUCCCAAAGUCAUGGUUAAGUGGGAAACGAUGUGGGAAGGCCCAGACAGCCAGGAUGUUGGCUUAGAAGCAGCCAUCAUUUAAAGAAAGCGUAAUAGCUCACUGGUCGAGUCGGCCUGCGCGGAAGAUGUAACGGGGCUAAACCAUGCACCGAAGCUGCGGCAGCGACGCUUAUGCGUUGUUGGGUAGGGGAGCGUUCUGUAAGCCUGCGAAGGUGUGCUGUGAGGCAUGCUGGAGGUAUCAGAAGUGCGAAUGCUGACAUAAGUAACGAUAAAGCGGGUGAAAAGCCCGCUCGCCGGAAGACCAAGGGUUCCUGUCCAACGUUAAUCGGGGCAGGGUGAGUCGACCCCUAAGGCGAGGCCGAAAGGCGUAGUCGAUGGGAAACAGGUUAAUAUUCCUGUACUUGGUGUUACUGCGAAGGGGGGACGGAGAAGGCUAUGUUGGCCGGGCGACGGUUGUCCCGGUUUAAGCGUGUAGGCUGGUUUUCCAGGCAAAUCCGGAAAAUCAAGGCUGAGGCGUGAUGACGAGGCACUACGGUGCUGAAGCAACAAAUGCCCUGCUUCCAGGAAAAGCCUCUAAGCAUCAGGUAACAUCAAAUCGUACCCCAAACCGACACAGGUGGUCAGGUAGAGAAUACCAAGGCGCUUGAGAGAACUCGGGUGAAGGAACUAGGCAAAAUGGUGCCGUAACUUCGGGAGAAGGCACGCUGAUAUGUAGGUGAAGUCCCUCGCGGAUGGAGCUGAAAUCAGUCGAAGAUACCAGCUGGCUGCAACUGUUUAUUAAAAACACAGCACUGUGCAAACACGAAAGUGGACGUAUACGGUGUGACGCCUGCCCGGUGCCGGAAGGUUAAUUGAUGGGGUCAGCGCAAGCGAAGCUCUUGAUCGAAGCCCCGGUAAACGGCGGCCGUAACUAUAACGGUCCUAAGGUAGCGAAAUUCCUUGUCGGGUAAGUUCCGACCUGCACGAAUGGCGUAAUGAUGGCCAGGCUGUCUCCACCCGAGACUCAGUGAAAUUGAACUCGCUGUGAAGAUGCAGUGUACCCGCGGCAAGACGGAAAGACCCCGUGAACCUUUACUAUAGCUUGACACUGAACAUUGAGCCUUGAUGUGUAGGAUAGGUGGGAGGCUUGGAAGUGUGGACGCCAGUCUGCAUGGAGCCGACCUUGAAAUACCACCCUUUAAUGUUUGAUGUUCUAACGUUGACCCGUAAUCCGGGUUGCGGACAGUGUCUGGUGGGUAGUUUGACUGGGGCGGUCUCCUCCUAAAGAGUAACGGAGGAGCACGAAGGUUGGCUAAUCCUGGUCGGACAUCAGGAGGUUAGUGCAAUGGCAUAAGCCAGCUUGACUGCGAGCGUGACGGCGCGAGCAGGUGCGAAAGCAGGUCAUAGUGAUCCGGUGGUUCUGAAUGGAAGGGCCAUCGCUCAACGGAUAAAAGGUACUCCGGGGAUAACAGGCUGAUACCGCCCAAGAGUUCAUAUCGACGGCGGUGUUUGGCACCUCGAUGUCGGCUCAUCACAUCCUGGGGCUGAAGUAGGUCCCAAGGGUAUGGCUGUUCGCCAUUUAAAGUGGUACGCGAGCUGGGUUUAGAACGUCGUGAGACAGUUCGGUCCCUAUCUGCCGUGGGCGCUGGAGAACUGAGGGGGGCUGCUCCUAGUACGAGAGGACCGGAGUGGACGCAUCACUGGUGUUCGGGUUGUCAUGCCAAUGGCACUGCCCGGUAGCUAAAUGCGGAAGAGAUAAGUGCUGAAAGCAUCUAAGCACGAAACUUGCCCCGAGAUGAGUUCUCCCUGACUCCUUGAGAGUCCUGAAGGAACGUUGAAGACGACGACGUUGAUAGGCCGGGUGUGUAAGCGCAGCGAUGCGUUGAGCUAACCGGUACUAAUGAACCGUGAGGCUUAACCUUACAACGCCGAAG
RNAcentral lists this ribosomal RNA (2925 nucleotides) under Escherichia coli. Its description in RNAcentral is "bacterial LSU rRNA". It matches the Rfam family "Bacterial large subunit ribosomal RNA". The record is from RNAcentral. Lineage: Bacteria; Pseudomonadati; Pseudomonadota; Gammaproteobacteria; Enterobacterales; Enterobacteriaceae.